GAAGGGUGGCCGAGUGGUUUAAGGCACCGGUCUUGAAAACCGGCGUGCCCGCAAGGGUACCGUGGGUUCGAAUCCCACCCCUUCC
RNAcentral lists this transfer RNA (85 nucleotides) under uncultured Bradyrhizobium sp. It matches the Rfam family "tRNA". From Rfam's summary of the family: Transfer RNA (tRNA) molecules are approximately 80 nucleotides in length. Lineage: Bacteria; Pseudomonadati; Pseudomonadota; Alphaproteobacteria; Hyphomicrobiales; Nitrobacteraceae. The record is from RNAcentral.